Manis pentadactyla (Chinese pangolin) is the source of this 15452-nucleotide long non-coding RNA. RefSeq lists it as uncharacterized. Lineage: Eukaryota; Metazoa; Chordata; Mammalia; Pholidota; Manidae. The transcript is spliced from 2 exons. The record is from RefSeq and is a predicted model, not a curated record.
CGUACAGUUUUACCGGUUCAACACUGGGACUGAAUUGACCUAUAGUAAAAUAGCUACAGUGGUCUAGUUAACUCAGACCUAUCCUCCCUACCCACCAAUCCUCCUCCCAACUCUGCUGCCCCAGCCUCCAGGUCCGCUGGCCAUUUGUCUGCAUGGAUUUAUUGGACUGACCACCCAGUCUGCUGUUACAGAGACUUGGCCUUUCUUUUAUAUUUCUCCAUCAGUUUUUGUUUCUUAUUUUGAGGCCAGUUCUAGAUUGUUUACCCUUUGAUGGACAGACCGGGCUUUGUCUCAUUUGGUUCCACUUAGACAAACAGUAGGAGUGUAAAAAGGAGGCUUGGGUCCAGGUAACAGAAAGUUUGACUCCUCUCCCCUCUAGGGACUGUCCCCUCUGCAGACGCAGCUACAGUGGGAAUUAGAAAGGAGGAAAAGACCACAUGGUGGAAUUUGUCAGCUGCUUCUGUUAAUGUCUCUUAAAAUGGAGGUCAGAGUAGUGUAUGCAGAUACCAAAAUGGGGAAAUUGUCUGGUUAAAGUAAAUGAAUCAGUCAAAUAUAUGUUCCUCACAUUUUAAAGAAAAAGGUAAGGUUCAAUGAAAAAUGAAGAUUUUGGUCUUCAAAGAGAAAUUCCUCUUUUUGUUACAAAGGAGGGUGCUUCACUUGAAAUUGGUAAAUACUUUGCUGCUUUGCAUAUGUUCCAGCAAAUAUAAUUUGUCUUUUUGAAUCUCACAGGAUUAGCUAUUUUAUUACUAUUUCUUCUUAUUUCUGGAGCUAAAGAUGGUAUACAAAUAGUAUAGCUCACAAAUCUAAGAGCAUGUCUUUAACAUGAUGUUCUGCCAAGUGAAUAUUGCAGUCUGAUCAAAUUGACAGUGUCUUUCUAGCUGGGGAAGCACAAUGCCCCACAAUUUCAUUCCCCCAACAUCAUGUUUAAAUCAUGGAAGGGGUUAAGAGCCAGAGAAUGAACAAAAUGGUUUCCUAGGUUUCAAUAGUACCUAAGAUAUGAUUCCUGGAGUUCACAAUAUUAUAAAUCAUUCUAAAGGAAUAUGCUCCCCAGAAUUUUUAUUUUAAAAUUACUCAUUUCUGGUGUAUACAAGGGCAAGGUCAGAUGGCCUGCAGGAAGCAAGCCAGGUAAAUUUCCAUGAUUCAUAGUCACUAGGCAAUGUCUAGUUGCAGUUGAUCAUUCAUGCUGGCAUAUGUCCCAAGUAUAGGUCAUCUCAGUGUGGGUAACCUGACUGCACUAAUAAGUCUGGAGGAUAGUCUCUCUGCCUCCGGAUAAGUAGGAGGCCUAGAGUAAGUAGCUAGAAGAGCUCAUUCCAAGUAAUGCUAGUGUAGAGACAAAAAUUUUCCUAAUCUUUUGAAAACAAUUAUCUUUAACCAGUUUGGCUAUGCAAACAAGACCUGGAGUGGAGAACUAAGGAUAUAACUUUAAAAUCACAGAAUGCCCCAUCAUAGAUAACCUCCUAUUUUCUCAGAAGUAUAGGUUCUAAUAAUUAGAAACAUCCUUAGAGGUCUUUGUCCCUUAACAACAUCUGUGUCCUGGGGACAGUAACUCCAGAUCUAGGGCUCUUUGCCUGAUGCAUUCCUUGUUCCUUGGACCUAGCUUAGAGACAGAUCUGUCACAGUGACACUCCUUGCAAUGAAGGACCACAGAGGAGGACUGUGAGGACUUUGUCUUGGAGGGUCUGGCAAGUAUUGCAUGUAACUUUCCUCAAAAGUGAGAGCAAAUCCUGUCCUUUGGAGAAACCCCAUCGUUCCCUGACUGCCUGUCUUUUAGCGUUCCAGGUUCCCAGCCCUCUUUUCAGCCAGCCAUGACCCUUGGCUUUGCAGAAGGCUCAACCUCACUUGAUUUCAAAGCCUCUACUUUCUUCCCUUAGAUUCUGUUUAUGUAUGCGCUGGACAACUGUAGAAGUCCAAACUUCACAUAGUUGUCUGGAUUUCUGUGAAAAUGCCUUAUAUGACACCCAACAGGAUAUCAAUCCAUGCAGGGAUUUUUGCCAGAACAGCACCAUUGGUGGCCUUCUAGCUGGGCUUUAACAUUGGCUCUGGCAGAACUUAUAUGCCCCAAGGUAGUCCAUUCCUCUGAGUCUAGCCUCUUAUAACUCCAUGAUAGUACUUCCUUCCUAGGUUUUUGGGGCAGAUUAAAUGAGGUUAUGCCUAUGAAGUAUGGACAGGUGCCUGGCACAUGCUUGUCCCCCAUCAAUGUCUCCCCAGCUCCUUCCCUCACAUAAAGUAUCUACAUCUUGAUAUAUAGAUAUCACAGCACAGACUCUGGGCUCAUCAUUAAAAGUGAAAAUUCAGUAAUGAAAAUAGCUUCAUCUUCAGAGGCUCUUUUAUUUCCUCUUAACAAUUUUCAGUGUGAAAUCAUUUCCUUGAAAACAAGGGGUAAGAAACAUUAAGAAACAUAGAAAUUAAGAUGUUUUUCUUUCUUUCUUUAUGUCAUCUAGUAACAUGCACCAUUAACCUCAGUCAUGUACAUUCCUGGUAUGCUCUGGCUCUGAGUGUUAGAAGAGAAAUCCUUGUAGUCAUCUUUUUUUUUUUUUUGUAAUAAUAAUAGAUUAAGUCAACUGAAUAAAAAUAUAAAUAUCCUAGUUCCAUCUCUUAAAGCUAUUCCCUCUUAUGAUGUAUUCUUUUCUGAAUGAAGGUUUCAUUCCCUACAAAUGUCCUAGAUAAUCAACAGACACCUCCAGUCACACCCACCACAAACAAGGUGACGAGUAGAUGGCUUACAUGUGUGUCUACAGACUGGAUAUGAUGAAACAUGACAUGAAUUAGUAAAUCCGUCAGGAGAAAAACAGAUUUGCUGUCACACAUUAACCAGUUUUGCUGCAAUUCCAACACCGUAGAUUUUCAAUUAGCUGAAAUCAGUCGCAGUGGUAGGAUACCGCUUUUCUUUCUAGUCUGCUCCACAGCAGUAUUAAAGCCUGUUUCAGGUAUUUCAAAUGGAGAACUUAAAACAUCCAUUUUAAAGGAAUUUUAAAAACUUGUGCUACUCCAAGAGUAGCUCUUGAUAAUAUAAAGAUUUGCUAGGUAGUGAAUUAAUGAGCACAAAACCUGUACUAUACAAAACACUCACUGGUUAAAAAAAAAAAAACUUUUUCAUUAAGAAAUCUAGAUUAGACCCUAUUGGCUUUAACUGUAUAAUGGAAAUCCUUUUAUAUGUAUUACCAAACUCCCAUCAAAUCAUACCUCCGGACACCAAUAAGGAAAUCACCUCUUAUUUUAAACUAGAUACAUCAGAAGAAUAAUGGGUGCAGAGGUGGUCGUUUCUCUGAGUGGAACCAGAUGUAGAAAAAAUCCAGUCCCUAGUACUGAACUAGAAUCUUCUCUUGGCUAAUAGGAUGUGACUGAAUUCCAGGAAUGUUUAGUUCGUUUAAAAGAGUCAUGGUUUUUCAUCAGUGGGUCUUUGAGCAUUUAAAAUCUUUGGCUUGUAAGAUUUUUUUUUUUAACGAGCGAAUGCACAGCACUUUUGAUGCUGCUCUGACCAGCCUGUUGAAUGCUGCCUCAUAAGCUUUUCCUGUGACACUUCCUUUCAGCAAUGUUUCACAUGUGCUUUUUUCCUUCUGCCCACAUUCUGUGUUCACCACCAAAUUUCCAUUGUCAGUCCCCACCCACACACAAUGUCACUUGCUCAUAUAUACCCCUCCAAUCUUAGAGCAGUUCAAACCACCACUCACAUUUUCAUUGCACAUUAUGGAGGGGGAAAAUAUUGGCGUCCUCAAAAAGGGCAUAAAGUUCAUGUAAAAGGACUUAAUAUUUCUAGAACAUUUUCUUCUGGGAGGUCCCUUCAUGCCUAGUUACUGCACUUGCCACAAUAAGAAUAUGUACUCUCUCUUUGCCUGUGGGGCCCCCAAGCCAUUUUUCCCUGAUGACUGGUUUUCCCAUCAGAAAGUCUUGAUUAUGAGUCGAUAAAGUAAUACUCUACAGUCACACCCCCAGGGAAGGGAAGGAUUGACUAAGUAUCUGGAUUAUUCUGGAAAGGACAGGGAAAGGGGUGAGGUUUGUUUGCUUUCUAUUUUCUGUUCAAGCAAAGGCAGAUUUUAAAAACUGAAUUAGGAAAGUAAUAGGAACUGCUUAAAUCAUCUUGUAUCUGUGUUAUAAGCUUUCAAGUCAGGAAAGCUUAAGAAAAAGAAAAGUUCAGGUUUCAAACAUGUGCUUGUUUCUAAGCACAAACUUAGCAACUUCUCAUGUUGCUUUCACUAAACGUAAGAGUUCUCAUACAAGCGAGGUCUGUUUUCAUCACUUUCCAGCAAAGAUUAAAUUGCAGGGUGCUGUAGUAAUGACUCUGGUUGCUAAAUCUCCAUUGCCAAGUCAGAAACAUCAGAGGGACAACUCCGCUUAACCAGAGGCCCAGGAUACCUCAGCCACAUGAAUGCCUGGACAAAUGCCAGCCGAAUUAAUCAGUAUGCAUGGUGCUGGAGGCAGGAGCAGAUACCUCUUGUGGAGUGCUUACUCCGUAGACCAGUGUGGAGACUGUCAAAGCAGAGGAGAACAGUAAUAAGUGGCCCAAUCCUGGACAUGACUGUGCCAUUUAAAAUUUUUAGUCACUUAGGAUAAGUGAUACUGGAAGUUCAAGCAUUUACUUCCAAGGCAACCUGGGAGAGUUUCAGCUGUGAUUUCUUAAGUGAAGCUAAAUUAAUACCUUCAUUCUUUCAUUUAUUCACUCAUCAUUUAAAAUGUAAAUGUUUCUAGAGUGCCUAAACAGUGACAAGGAACUUCCAAAUACAUUUCUUUUGGCAUGGGUAAUGGGUAAAUUUGAAGUUCUGAGAAAAACAGAAACCUGGAUCCAUAUUUGAGCAAUAAUAACUAAAGUAAGUAGACAAAAUAAAUAAAAUAAGCACUGGCUUUUAUUAACCACCUACUAUAUGUCAUAUUUUAUCUAUUACACUUAAUUUCUAAGGAGGGUGGAGAAAAGACAACCAAGUGAGUCUCAGGAACAGCUUGGUUCACAGAGAAAAGCCCUCAGAGGGUCUCUGGAUGUACCGACAGUUUGAAGUAAGUUUAAGGAACAUAACAGACAAGUCAGAAGAACAGACUGUAGUUUGGCAGCAGGGAGGCCUCUAGGCGUCAUUCACAUUUGGUUGGUUUCUUUGAGCUGUGAUUUUAAAAUCAGUGAAACCUAUUUCUUUAAAUCCAGUAGCAUUUAUCAUAUCAUUUUGUGCUUGUGAUAUUUUGUGCUUAUAAUAACCUUCGUAAAAAGUCUAUCUCCCUGUGAGGAAUAGUGAACUGUAGUUGUGAAGGGUAGGGCUCUGAAGCCAGAAACUAUUGGGUUUAAAUUGUCAUGCAGCUGCUCAUACCUGUGUCACCUUGGGCAGGUAAUUUCAAGCUCUUUGCAUCAGUUUCUCAUCUGUGAAACGAGGAUAGUAAUAGUUCCUACAGUGCAGUUGCAGUUAGUUGUGAAAAUGAGAUGAUUUAUGUGAGUUACUUAACAUAGUGCUAAUAUUUACAAAGUAAUUUUACUGUCAGUCCCUUCUGCCAUCCCCAUACCACUUUUAUAAUACAGUUUUGUACAUCCAUCCAUCUAAGGACUCCCGAAAGUACUCUGUUUCUCCCGUGAUUUGAUGGGCAAUAUGUAAAAGCUAAUAUAUAAUUCAUUUAGGAGCAAAGCUUCAUUAUACUAUAUUGCUGUAUAAUUUCCUCUAGUAUGCAGGUAUCUGGUACAGCUUAUUAAAGUAAGAAAGCAAACUAUGCUGUAUAUCAGAAGGGAAGAAUUUGUGAGUUCUAUACAUCUGGGCUUCUCAAACUGCAAGGUUCAUAUGAACCCUGUGUCUUGGUAGAAUGCAUAUUCUGAUUCGGUAGUUCUAGGGCAGAUCCUGAGAUUCUGUAUUUCCAGCAAGUUCCUAGUCAGUGCCAGGGCUGACGGUUUGUGGUCAACACUUUGAUCUAGGCCCUAAACCAGUAGUGACAACUGAAUGAAGGAAGCUGAGGAGUUGGUGUGAACAUUCCUCCAGUCAUGGGUGAUUUCCUUGACCGCAGUUUUUCUAUGGGAGACUCUGUGCUCAGCUCUCGGGGGACAUAGUCAAACCUCCCUGGAAGGCACCCCCCUCCUACACUGGCACCUGUGAAAACAUAUUGGAAACAGGCUAUAAAGACAGAAAAACCUGCAGUGAGACACCUGGCCAGCCCACAGCUGCCCAAAUGAGCAAGCACCCUGGUUUCCACACUUCACUGCUCCUUUUCUAGAAGGCUGAUUCCUCCCAAGGCCCCAUUACUUCUGAAAACUGUGAGCAAAAGUCCCCAAGGCUAGUGGACCACAGAUGGAGCACCACAGGCCUUACCCGAUCCUUGUCAGAGGACUGGCUCCUCAGAGAGCAGCUUAUCCUCUGUGGACUGUUUCUCACUCCUACAGCUAGUAGAUUUCUCUAAGUCAGGUCACUCAGAGUCUUUAUUUAGUGCCAAGUGGGCCAAAAAAACACAAAGAGCAUGAGGGAGGGACUCUCUAUUUCCCCAUGUUCUAAUGACAGGUCCUCUGAAAGGGGAAAAAAUUACAAAUCACCAAAAACCCUUCCCAAAUGAUCUAGUGUCAAAGAGCAAAUCCUAGAAAUACUUCAUUUUUGAAAUUUUAAUGUAAAAAAUCCUAGAAAUGUUGAACAAAUGUCAGAGUAAUAACUGUAUUUAGAGUCCCUCGUGCUUCACCUGGAAUUCGAGGUCUAACACAGACCCUGCAUCAUAAAUUGUUGAUAUCUUCUCCUUUACCAUUCAUUGUUCAUGCAUUUUUCUAUCACACAGCUCUGACCAAUGAUGAGAGACACAGUGUUGCCCUGAGAGCCCCGUCCUCCAGAAGCUGUCCCUGCUGAGUAGGGUGCAAAUACUAACUGUUGACCUCCACAUAUUCCAGGUGGCUUUACAAGUGUGUCCACAGGGCAAGCUCACAGAUCUGAGUCCACACCCAGUUCUAGUGUGCUGGGCAUGGUCAUUCCAAUUAGAUAAAAUAACAGUAAAAUGUACAACAGAAAUUUAUGAAAAGCCUGCUCAUUAAGUUAUAGAAAUAAAAAAUAAUAAUGUACAAAAUGUAGAGUUGGAGGAGGGGCAUGUGGAACUCCAUAAUUUCUGUGCAGUUUACUGUAAACCUAAAAGUGCUCUAAAAAUAAAGUCGGUUAAUAAAGGAAAUGCAAAGUUCAUGACCUUGGAAAAUAUAAGCAUACAGGCUGAAUACAAAAGCUUUAGAAAGGAUGUUUAAGAAGAAAGACCUUCCUAAAAGUUUCCCAUUACUGUACCACAAUUAACGGGUAUGAUGGAAAAAAAAUCUGUUAGAAGGUAAGAUCACCCACCCCAUUUCUUCUCUACCAGGAGAAAAUACUCAGGAAUGGGAGCAUGUUAAGAUGUAAGGAGCAGCUUGUUUAGAGUAAGGCCUGAGUUUGAAUCCCAGGUUGGCCCUCCUACUAGCUGUGUGCCUUUGGACAAGCAACUUAACAACUUUUAUCUUAAGUUUUCUCAUCUGUAAAACAGUAAUAAUGACAUGUGUAUAAUGCAGUUAUUAUUAGAAUUAAAGGAAAUACUGGAAGUGAAACCAGUAGCCAUAGGGUAUGCUUAACAAAUGUCAUUUGAAGUUAAACACUUCUAGCAAUGAUUUAAUUCUAAGAGGUGUAUCAUGUCAGUUAGUGGGAAGGUCAGUUAGUGUGAAGAUGGGAGGGAUGAAACCCUUUUGUAGGUAAGUACUUAGCAGUCUGCCUGACAUACUGUAGGCCCUCAGUAGAUAACUUGUUGAAUGUAUAAGGCUCUGAACCGAGAAAACCAAAAUUUCACAGAGCUGGUUAAUUUUAUCCUCAGAUGCAUUACCUUGAUGUAUAUAGAACAUUACACUUUCUAAAGUCCAUUUAUACUUAUUUAAUAAAAUAAACAAACCAAAACCUCGGAAGCAGGUAGGACAGAUUCAUACUUUAAUUGGUAAAAGUGGAAACUGAGGUACCCAGAAAAUCACUAAAAAAAAAAAACUAGUGAAAGAGCAGAAUUAGGACUCAAGUUUUUAAUUAUGAUCAGUUUUCCACUAUGUGUGUUGAAACUUAGUGAGUCUCUUUUCCUAUACUCACUGGGGAAAAAUGCCAUUCUGAACACUUAAGAGAGCAUAGAUAAAACAUAAGCCUGAAUUAGAAAUUUAAGGGAAAAUAAAACAUAUUGUUCUAUAUUCCAUAUAGAAUACAAAAGCAUCCUUUCCAAAUAAUUUUACCGUUUCUUUUCAGUUUGUGAUUUGACAGUCAUUGAUGGCCAGUGCACAAGGCCACUGUAGGUAAGCUUUCAGCUCUAAUGCCAGUUCUUCUAUACAAUGUCAGGUGUGACUGGACAUUUGUCCAAAAGCUAUUUUUUGCAUCUUAGACUUACUGUCAGAGGAAAACAUACCUAGGAGAUAUUGUGGGUUCAGUUCCAGACCACUGCAAUAAGCAAAUAUUAUAAUAAAGUAUGAGUCAAGUAAAUUUUUGGUUUCCCAGUACAUAUAAAAGUUAUGUUUACACUAUGUUAUAGAUGAUUAAGCUUGCAAAAGAUCGUCUAAAAGAAAACAAUGUACAUGCUUGGUUUAAAAAAUGCUUUAUUCCUAAAAAAUGCUAGCUAUCGUCUGAACAUUCAGCAAGUUGCAAUCUUUUUCCUGGCAGAAGGUCUGCCUCGAUGUUGUUGAGUGCCAACUGAUCAGGGUGGUAGCUGCUGAAGGCUGAGGUGGCUGUGGCAAUUUCUUAAAAUAAGACAAGAAUGAAGCUUGCCACAUCAAUUGACUUUUUCUUUCACAAAUGACUUCUCCAUAGCAUGCAAUGCUGUUUAUAGCAUUUUAUCCACAGUAGAACUUCUUUUAAAAUUGGAUUCAGUCCUCUCAAAACCUGCCACUCUGUUACCGACUAAGUUUAUGUAAUAUUCUAAAUCCUUUGUUGUCAUUUCAACAAUCUUCAUAGCAUCUUCACCAAAAGUAGACUAUCUCAAGAAACAACUUUCUUGCCUCAUCCAUAAGAAGCAACUCCUCAUCUGCUGAAGUUUUAUCAUGAGAUUGCAACAGUUCAGCCACACCUUCAGGUUCCACUUGUAAUUCUAGUUCUCUUGCUAUUUCCACCACAUCUGCAGUUACUUCCUCCACUGAAGUCUUGAGCCCUCAGUGUCAUCCAUGAGGGUUAGAAUCAACUUCUUCCAAACUCCUGUGAAUGAUGAUAUUUUAACCUCUUCCCAUGAAUCACAAAUGUUUCUUAAUGGCAUCUAGAAGGGUGAAUCCUUUCCAGAGGGUGUUCAGUUUAUCUUUCCCAUAUUUAUCAGCGGACUCUUUAUGGCAGCUAUAACCUUAUGAAGUGUAUUUCUUAAAUAAUAACACUUGAAAGUUGACUGAAGAAUGGAUGUUGUGUCAGCAGGCAUGAAAAUGUUCAUCUCAUUGUCCAUCUCCAUCAGAGCUCUUGCAUGACCAGGUGCUUUGUCAGUGAGCAGUAAUAUUUUGAAAAGAAUCAUUUUUUUUUCUGAGCACUAGCUCUCAACAGUGGGCUUAAAAUAGUAAACCGUGUUAUUAAUAGAUGCACUGUCAUCUAGGCUUUGUUGUUCCACUUACAGAGCACAGGCAGAGUCCAUGUCACAUAAUUCUUGAGGGCCCUAGGAUUUUCAGAAUGGUAGGUGAGCACUGGCUUCAAAUUAAAGUCACCAGCUACAUUAGCCUCUAACAAGAAAGUCAGCCUGUCCUUUGAAGCUUUGAAGCCAGGCAUUGGCUCCUCCUCCCUAGCUAUGAAAGUCCUCGAUGGCAUCUUCUUCCAAUAGAAGGCUGUUUCAUCUGCACUGAAAAUCUGCUGUUUAAUGUAGCCACUUUCAUUAGUGAUCUAAGCUAGAUCUUCUGGGUAACCAGCAGCCUCUACAUCAGAACUGGCUGCUGCACCUGCACUUUUCUGUUAUGGAAAUGACUUACUUUCUUAAACCUCAGAACCAACCUCUGCUAGCUUCAGACUUCUCCUCUGCAGCUUCUUCACGGCCCUCACUCAACCUUCACACAACUGCGGAGUUUGGGCCUUGCUCUGGGUCAGCUCUGGCCUAAGGGAGCACUGUGGCUGACGUGGUCGCCAGUCCAGACUCCCUGAAGCUUUCUCCGUAUCAGCAGUAGGGCUGUUUCUUGUCAUUUGUGUGUUCACUGGAGUAGCAUUUGUAAUUUCCUUUAAGAACUUUUCCUUUGCAUUCACAACUUGGAUAAUUUUUUGGCACAAAAGCCUCAGCUUUCAGCCUGUCUCGGCUUUCAACAGGUCUUCCUCACUAAGCACUCAAUCAUUUCUAGCUUUUGAUUAAAAGUGAGAGGCAUGUGACUCUUCUUUCACUUGAACACUUAGAGGCCAUUGUAGGGUUUUGGUUUAAUUUCAAUAUUGUUGUGUCUCAUGGAAUAGGGAGACGUAAGGAGAGGAGGAGAGAGGAGAAAAUGGCCAAUUUGUGAAGCAAACACAUACAGCAUUUAUAGCUUAAAUUUGCCAACCUAUAUGGGUGCAGUUCCUGGUGCCCCAAGACAAUUAGAAUAGUGACAUUAAAGAUCACUGAUCAUAGGUCACUAUAACAAAUGUAAUAGUAAUAGAAAAGUUUGAAAUAUUGCAAGAAUCAUCAAAACGUGACACAGACAGGAAGUGAGCAAAUGCUGUUGGAAACAUGGUGCCGAAGGCCUGACAGGGGUAGGGUGGAGUGAGGUGGCAGGGCAAAGAGAGAAAAAAGUAAUGGAAGGUUUUCUCAUCCAAGAACUAUAGUUGUACGAAAUGUACUAGCUGAUGUUUGUAUAGGUCCAGAGGAAAAGCAGGAUUUUUUACGUUUCUAUAACAUAUGUAAGACUAUGUAAACAUUGUCUUGAUCUGAAGCCUGGCCAACUCCCAACUAUCCCCUACUAGAAUGAGCCUUGACAGGAGUAAGAGAAGCAAGUCACUAAGCAGCUUCUGCUUUAUCAGAAUCCCAGUGCUCAACCAGUAGGCUGGUCAUUUUCUGGGUGUGCCUCUGCCUUCUUCUUUGGCAAAAUUUUAGCAUAGACAGAGGAAGCACCAUUUUCUCUACCUUUAUAACAAGUCAUCCCAAACCUUAAAACAAUGGCCAUAUCUCUUUUACCCCAGAGCCUGUGAUUUGGGCAGGGCUCCGUCAGAAGCUGCCUGCACCCGGCUUCAGCUGGAGUGCCCUGCAGGCUGGGGACCCGAGUCAUUGAAGUUUCUCUCCCUCACAUGUUUGGUGGAUGAAUCUGACUUUGGAGCUGUCAGCCAGAACACCAACCUGUGGCCUCUCCCUGUGAUCUCAGCCUCCUAACAACAUGGCGGCUAGGUUUCCUGUGUGAGAACCGCAAAAGAGAGAGCCAGGUGGGAACUGGGUCCUCUCUGUAACUCAGCCUUGGAAGUCACACAGCAUCGAAUGACUCCACUCUGCUCUGUGGGCCGAGCAGAAGUUGGUGUACACCCUGAUUUGGAGGGAGGAAACACAGACCCCACCUCUCAGGGGGAGGAGUGUCAAAAUACGAUCAGAAGAGCACAUGAAAUGGAGAUAUUGCUUCAGUCCUUUAGAAAAAUACAAUAUGCCACACACCUGCGGCAGCCAUUCCCUUCUCUGGAAUCACACUGCCUUCCUAGGAUUCUUCUAGGACACACAUGCUCCAAUGGCUAGGGGAGGGGUGAUAGUUGCUGGCUUUUUGGAUUUUAUUUAUUUUUUUGUUCCAAAAUAGCCUGAAAUACCAUCCUACCUGAAGCAGGAAUGUGACUUGUUCAGAGCUGCAGGCUGGUUAGUGAAGGAGCCUGCGUUUGAGUCCUGGCCAUCUGAUCCCAUUAUCAAUACUAGAUUCCUUCCUGUAUGUAGGAUCAAGUGGAAAGAAGCAGAAAUUUUGAGGUUAUUAAGAGUUUGGGGAAGGGACUAAAGAAAUAAGGAAACAGGUAGGAGGGUAAAGAGCGAAAGAAGGGAAGUCGGCGGACCCCAAAGUAGAUUCUCUUUUUGAUAUAGUUGCUUGAUCCUGGGCAUUUUCUCCAAUUUCUGGUUUCUCUAACAUCUAUUCCUAGUCUUCCUUUUGGACAGCUGAACUAUUUCUCUUUAGAUUGAGGGAUAACAGUCAGCAUAUCUAGUUAUAAUGAGCCUGGGUGAACCAGACUUUUUACUUGAAAGGUGUUUAGAAGGUAAGGUCAUUGUCACAACGUGCAGCACGGUGUUGCUGGGCAAAAAAAUAUAAUGUCAGGCAGAAUAAUAAUGAUUUGACACAGUCACCCAGACUUACGCACUCAGGGAUAAAAGCAGAACGAAUCCUUUCUCAAGACACCAUCUAAUCAAAUUCAGGCAUGUGUACAGCCUGCAGCACAGAGAAGAUGAUCAUUUCAUUGGGCAAAGAUUAUUAAAAUUGGAUUCUUUUUUCAGAAGAGGGUCAAAAUUAGAAUUCUGCAAAGCAUUAUCUUCUUCCCACAAUGGCCAUGUCAUUUUUAUAAGAGAUGUGUUGCCUAGAAAUUUUCCUGAUCCUUUUGUUCUUCCUCACGUCUAAUCUGUGUUAAGUUAGCAGUAAAACUGGGUACCAGACCUAUCCAGAGAGGCACAGGAGACAAUUAACACCUACCUCUGGAACACUGGUGGUGAUUAAUAAGACAUUGUGCCGCAGCUGUGUAUGUUUUUAUGUUUAUUGCAAUCAAGCUUGAUUAAAGCUGGCUUUGGUGAUAUCCUCUGAUUCCUUGUGGUGUGGGGAGUUUUAUGAGACUGGUUGCCCAGCUUCAUUUUUCACUUCACAGGGAAGUACUCCUGCAGCCAUUACCUGAUAUACACAAGGGAUUAACUGAUGUUUCUCUGUGGCUGGGGAAACAGCAUAGUAAGGUCAUUCCUAAAAGCUGGCUGGGGGACAAUUUAACUCUUCAGAUCAAAUAUAUUUGUCCCACCCCUGGCUCUGCCUUCUGAUCAAAGUCAGGGGUGAUUUCAGAGCAGUGGCCCCUCAUUCAGUCAGGUGCUAUGUGCCUGCUCUCUCUCCGUGGGCAUUAAAAAUGAGGCACUGAUGUGUAACCAAGUCCUCAUCAUGGCAGCCGACCUCAGUUUAUCACAGGAUGGAGGCCCACAUCUCUAAUCCCUGUCUAUAAAGCUGUCUGAGAGAGUUGCACAGACCCACGGAUGUCUUUUUUUUUUUUUUUCCAGAAUCCCUUUUAAUGUGUUUUCCCACAGUUUUUGUAAGUGUUAAUGUCUCAGCCUGGCCAUGCCAGCAAAAAAAGAAAAAUUCCCAUAAAGGGUUGCUAUUUUAAUAGUUCAAUUUAUUUUUUUAAGGGAGAAAAUAUAAAAUUGUAGAUUUAAGUUGUAUCCCAGAUGCAGAAUCUUAUCUAAACAUACACACACACACACACACACACACACACACACACACACACACACACACACACACAUACACACACACACACAAAACCAAGGUCUCAGGAUACUCAACUCUUCCCACUUUCCUCAAAAAUACUACUGUCUGUGUGUUCCCAUAUGAACAAUUGAAUGAUUCCCAAGCUGUAUUUCCUCGCAUAGAUGUUCAUUGCAUUUUCCACCCCCUUUCUAUCUUUUAUACAUAUUCUUUUGAUUAAUGUAGGCUUGGAAUUGCUAUUAAUUUCAGGGUAAAUGUUUAGAUCAGAUACAAAGAUAUUUGAAACCAGGAGGAACAGACUCUGUGUCUGCAGCUCCCCAAUGAAGGAAGUUGUAAUUCUUGAUGUAUUUUAUGGCCCAGAAAGACUCAGCCUCAAAUAAAAGCCCAUUCCCCCCAUAUUGUCAUAUUAUUAGUAUUAAACAUCAAUGUACUUUAUAAUUUCGGCAGUGGCUUGUCAUUUGGAUAGUUGUCUGCAAAUGCUACUAAUGUUAUUUUGGAUAAAAAUUGUCUCAUUACCAUGUAAGUUGGGAAAAGAACUCACAUAUCACCUGUACUUCUUCCUCUCUUCCUGUGUCAUCUCUGUCCUCUUAUGAUGCAGUUCAGUUCUCAGGGGACUUUACUGCCCCUGAAAAUUGACAGUCACAUUCUAUUAUAAUGUGUUUUUUUCCCAUUUAAUAACAUGGUAUAGGUAAUGAUUUGCAAUCCUCAAAGGGCCUCCUGCCAGUGACAACUGAACUCAAAUAAUUGAGAACACCAUGCAGUUUGGAGCUGACUACAUGGUUUCAAUCAUGGUUCAAUCAGAGUUAAAGCAACAGUAUGUCUAGAGUGACUUUCAGUGAAAUGACAUGCUCCUGAUACAUUUCCAUAUCUGCUUUACAUAUGGAACUUUUGCUUCUUUGGGCCACUGUGAAACAGGACCAUAAAUGGUAUAUUUAUUUGUUCCCCAUUAGACUGUAAGUUCCCUAUAGGUCGGGAUAUUUUCUUCCCUCCUUUAGUUUUAGUGCCUAAAACAGUGCUUGGCAUAUAGUAUGCUCAAGCAUUAUUUCCCCUGCCUGGUGGCAUGUCACUCAGGUCCACAGUCUUUGUUUUUGUCCUCUUCAUCCAUCGAUAUCGCUAUAUCCCAGCACUUGAGGGCCCUUUAAACCCUGCAUUGACUGGUAUUUAAAGUGACUGGCAUUAUUCAUCCAGCCCUCAAGUAACAGUGUAACUUCCUUCCUAUCGUCUGAUGGCCUUAAGCAGGAGCCCUUGAUGUCACUCCCUGAAUCAUAUAAUACAGUUUAGUUACAGCUGGGUGACCUCACUUUUUCAGUCUUCUCAAAGACCCCUUAUAGGACCAGAACUGGAUCUGAGGCCUUCUCAGUGGCAAGACUUUGUGCCCCACCCCAAAGGAUUCCUCCCCACUGACCAUCAGCAGCACCCUGAAAGAGAUCCUGGCCACCUUAGCACUUUCCUACCUCAAGAUAAACUCCCUCCCUUGCUUCCUAAGAUGCUAAUUUUUUCUCAGAGUCUUUAUUAGGAUUACAUGUAAAAAUGUAUAAAAGUCACCUAACAUAGUAUCUACCCCCUGGUAGGCAUUCAAUAAUUGAUAGCUUAUUCAUUUGUAUAAUGAGCUAAACAGUAAAAUACAGCUUUCUAUAGCUAUGAAUUAUAAUGAAUAUUAAGUUCCUAAUAUCACAGAUAUGGAGACAAUAUUAUGAGGUUAAGUAAGUGUGGGCUUGCCAGCAGAAUUACUUCAAGUCCUGGCUUUGACACUGACUUCCUCCAUGACUUUGGGCAAAUGACUCAACGUCUCUGUUCCUCACCUUGUAAAAUUUAAGCCACAGUACUUACCUUACAUAGUAGGUAUAAGGACUAAAGGAUAUAGUGCUUUCAAUUCCAUAGACUGAACAAUAAAACGUUAUGCAAAUAGAGGCAUCUUUUCUCCUAUGAAAAUGAAUGUUAUGUGAAUUGUGGACAGCCUAUAUUUUGCAAUAACAGUAGGUGAGUUAUAGAACUAAGAUUUCAGAGAGCAUAAUAUGACUUUUCAUUUCCUUGGAGUGUUAAGUACAAAUAUUGCUGAAGUGGAGGAAGAGGAAAGCCCAGCCCUUCUGAUUCUUGAGUGUAUGACAGGGUCUAUGGAUCCCCUCAUGCUUUUUGCAGCCAGCAACUACUGCAGCAGUUUGCUCUGCACACUAUAAAAAAAAAAACAACAAAA